UACGAGGGGUGCAAGCGUUGCUCGGAAUUAUUGGGCGUAAAGGGUAGGUAGGUGGUCUCAUUUGUCUGGGGUGAAAGCCUUGAGCUUAACUCAAGAAGUGCCCCAGAAACGGUGAGACUCGAGUACUGGAGAGGGUCGUGGAAUUCCCGGUGUAGCGGUGAAAUGCGUAGAGAUCGGGAGGAACACCAGUGGCGAAGGCGGCGACCUGGACAGUAACUGACACUCAACUACGAAAGCGUGGGGAGCAAACAGG
RNAcentral lists this ribosomal RNA (253 nucleotides) under uncultured bacterium. RNAcentral's name for it is "partial 16S ribosomal RNA". It matches the Rfam family "Bacterial small subunit ribosomal RNA", at positions 524 to 776 of the family's 1533-position model. The record is from RNAcentral.